CAAUUGUGCUGAGAAACAAAGGAGAGUGGAUGAAGAACACAGCAGCCUGCCUCCACAGCUUUGGAAUCGAUGUGCAAAUAAUUUCCUUGGGAGGAACUCUUUAGAUUCUGAGGACUUCUCCUGGCAUGUGGAACUGUAAGACCAGAUACAAGAGGAUUCACUCCAAAUUGUACACCACACUCAGGCAUGGGACUAAGAAUAUGGAUAUAUACAAAAAGAAAUUUAAGAGAACACAGAAGAAGAGAUAAUGAGAAAGAAAGAAAGAAAGAAGAAAGAACGAUCUACAAUCAGAAAGUGAUUCAAAAGACUCUCAGCUAAGUGCUACAUAAUGAGCAACUCGUACUCCUCAACCAAACGGCACAGCAAGAAGACAGCCAUUGGUGAAACAGGAAGAAGACCUUCAUCAGAACCCAAUCUUUGUGGCACCCUAAUCUUGGACUUCCCAACCUCCAGAGUUAUGAGAAAUAAAUUUAUGUUGUUUAAGCCAUUCUAGUCUAUAAGAUAAUGAAAGAGAGGCACCUGACUCAAGCAAUGGAUGUCGGAGCAGAAGACUAGAAGGCAAAGCAAGUACAUGCUACCUGUCUGGGCAAGACCUUUCAGUGCCUUUCCAUAUUUCAAUGGGUAGUCAUCUGCACACCUUCCAGUCUUUUCUUCUGUAUUGCAAAGGCUAGAAGCCUUGGUACUAUAUUUAUCAAACUUACUUUUUUUUUUUUUAACAAAUCUUCAAUGUGAUUCUCAUUUUGCUAAGAUACAUUUGUAUGAAAUUUUGAGAUAGAAAAGUAUGAAUAAGAAAGCAUUGCCUUCUUUCUCAGUGGCAGCACACAAACAUAUGGACUUCACAGACACGACAUUUUGCAGCAACUUCUAGAUCUUCCCCCUGUGAGUGCCCUGGGACAUCAUUACAAUAAAUAAACCAUUCAGGAAGUCAAAGGAUGGUAGUUUUCACAGAAGCAUUGCAAGCAUUGAGAAGAAAAAUAAUCCAUAUCUAGUAGGUUUAUUUUUAUGAGGAUAAAUCUCUGGCCUCUCCAUAUGGAAAAGGAUCUCCUGUAAGUUAAUCCUGCCAUCAGGUUGCUGGCUGGUUUGCCUGGGAUAUAAAGCCCUAUUAGUGAGCCAGUGGUGACCUUUGCUGCUGUCUGGUUAGAUGCGCAGCAGCACUGCAGUCACCCUUUCUGAGGGAAAGUUCACGUUUUGAAGCCUAGGUAGAAAUUCUCUCUGUACCACCAUGGUUUCACUGAAUGUGAGUCAAUUGAGGCAUCACCAGGGUGGCAAAAAGUUAUCAAGUCAAGCCCAGUCAACUCAGAAAAUUCAUCUCAGAAUUCCAUUUUACGUCAAUUUCCUGGCAUAAUGUUGAAACACUCUGCCCUUUAGUAUCUGGAACAAUGUCUAACACAAUAAUGCUUAACGCCGGGGAAAUGAGGGCAUAGGUCUGAAUCUCCGGAGAUUCCUUUUAUGGGGAAUAUCUUUUAACACCCCUUAGGAAACAACAUCAACUCACUAAAGACAGUACCAAUAAGGUCUCCUGCCUUCCCCAGGAAUAAAGAUUUAAAUCACACCAGCUCAAUGCUGGUUGAGGGCAAGGGAACAAUGAAUGGCUUGUGGAAGGGGAAAGUUAAAAAUGCAAAUUACAACUUUGUGCCCCAUUUAAGGAAAGAGAACUUGAAUAGCUAUGCAUAUUUGUGUUUUCUUCCUUGCUUUGUUAUGUACAUAUUUGUAUAUAUCAGCCACUAACUUCUUAUCUUUCCUUCAUUCUUCACUUACUAAUUUACAUAAGGUACUGGUAGUUCAUAUAAAUUCAUUUUUAGAGACUAAAUAUAAAAGCAGAAUUGCAACUGAACUUAAGCAAGAAUCAUUAUCACCCAGGGCUAGAUUUGGUGACUAAUAGAAGUUUGGAUCUCUAUUUUUAGAGGAGGGAUUGAGAAAAUUUUUGUAUGGGGAAUAAUUCUAUUCUAUUAGCAAGAAUCGUGUUGUUUUUUGCCAUUGCUGCUAAUUAAAAUUUUAAAUAUUGUCAAAAGU
Molecule: long non-coding RNA, 2013 nt
Filed under: Homo sapiens (human)
Lineage: Eukaryota; Metazoa; Chordata; Mammalia; Primates; Hominidae
Description: HSALNT0078200
Source: RNAcentral